GACGAACGCUGGCGGCGUGCUUAACACAUGCAAGUCGAACGGAAAGGCCCUGCUUUUGUGGGGUGCUCGAGUGGCGAACGGGUGAGUAACACGUGAGUAACCUGCCCUUGACUUUGGGAUAACUUCAGGAAACUGGGGCUAAUACCGGAUAGGAGCUCCUGCUGCAUGGUGGGGGUUGGAAAGUUUCGGCGGUUGGGGAUGGACUCGCGGCUUAUCAGCUUGUUGGUGGGGUAGUGGCUUACCAAGGCCUUGACGGGUAGCCGGCCUGAGAGGGUGACCGGCCACACUGGGACGGAGAUGCGGCCCAGACUCCUACGGGAGGCAGCGGUGGGGAAUAUUGCACAAUGGGCGGAAGCCUGAUGCAGCAACGCCGCGUGCGGGAUGACGGCCUUCGGGUUGUAAACCGCUUUCGCCUGUGACGAAGCGUGAGUGACGGUAAUGGGUAAAGAAGCACCGGCUAACUACGUG
RNAcentral lists this ribosomal RNA (468 nucleotides) under uncultured bacterium. Its description in RNAcentral is "partial 16S ribosomal RNA". It matches the Rfam family "Bacterial small subunit ribosomal RNA", at positions 28 to 507 of the family's 1533-position model. The record is from RNAcentral.